RNAcentral lists this ribosomal RNA (378 nucleotides) under uncultured eukaryote. RNAcentral describes it as "SSU rRNA". It matches the Rfam family "Eukaryotic small subunit ribosomal RNA", at positions 587 to 969 of the family's 1831-position model. The record is from RNAcentral.
AGCUCCAAUAGCGUAUAUUAAAGUUGUUGCGGUUAAAAAGCUCGUAGUUGGAUUUCUGUUGAGGAUGGACGGUCCGCACUAAGUGCGUGUAUCUGUUACAGCCUCGGCAUCCUCUUGGAGAACGGCGCUGUGAUUCAUUUCAUGGUCCGGAAUUCAAGACUUUUACUUUGAGGAAAUUAGAGUGUUCACGGCAAGCAAUCGCUUUGAAUACAUUAGCAUGGAAUAAUAAUAUAGGACCUUGGUACUAUUUUGUUGGUUUCUAGAACUAAGGUAAUGAUUAAUAGGGAUAAUUGGGGGCAUUCGUAUUAACGCGUCAGAGGUGGAAUUCUUGGAUUGCGUUACGACGAACUACUGCGAAAGCAUUCGCCAAGGAUGUUU